UCAAACUUCAAAGUUUUAUACUCAAUAAAGUUCUUUGCAUUCAAAAAUGUCACAUCCUGACAUCUAUCUUUUCUCUUGUGCAAGGCAUACACAAUGGGAAGAAUAGUUCGAGCAUCAGAAAAGUCAAGCUAGGAUUUGAAAAUUAUGAGACCAAAGUGCAUCCAUCAAAGCAAAACCUUUAAGACCAAACUGAACACAUUGGAAGCCUGAUAAUGAGUAAUUUACUCGAUUCUUGGCAGAACAUGAAGCCUCGGUCUACCUCAUUAUACCUUCCAGUGGCUGCAGCUGUUUUUUUGCGCUUGUUCACUUUCUACAAGAGUUUCAAGUUGUGGACAGUCUUUCUCAAUGCCACACAGUCAAUGUCCUGAUUUUUUCACCAAUAUCAUUGUGAUAAAUAGAAGAUGGUUAAUUGCAUCCAUUCUAGGCCAGUCAGUAGGAAGAAAUAAGUUUCAGCAAAUCAUAAAACUGCUUGCACUACAGACAUCAUGUCACCUGGGAGCUGUAGUUCACCACCUCCAUCAUUUCUUGCUGACAUGCUUGACAAAGAGCAAAGUAUUCUGAAGUUCCAUCCAAGUUUCCUGCCAAGCUAAUUUGUUUGAUGACUACUGGGAGUAACCACGUGUGCAUCAUGAAACAUCUCAACAAACCUGUAACAUCUAUGUACAGUUAUACUGACUUAACUUGAAAUGAAGCUUUCUAGGUAGUUUCAAAAAGCUGAAUCUCUAGUAUUUUUUUAACUGUCUGUAACCAAACUGCUUUGAUUUUAUAUAAAACAUCCCAGGACAAUCUACUGAUAUUUUCAACUAAAUAGUUUUUACAAUCUGUGAUCCUUGACAUGUCAUGAACUUUAGUUCUCCAAGCAUAUGUUUCUAGGAGAAAGACAAAACUAAUAUUAUAGUCUGCUUGUUAGAAAAUGUAAUUCAAAACAAUACAAAUCAAA
Molecule: long non-coding RNA, 940 nt
Filed under: Anser brachyrhynchus (Pink-footed goose)
Lineage: Eukaryota; Metazoa; Chordata; Aves; Anseriformes; Anatidae
Description: lncRNA (ENSABRG00000012024.1)
Source: RNAcentral